RNAcentral lists this unclassified non-coding RNA (520 nucleotides) under uncultured Entrophospora. Its description in RNAcentral is "SSU rRNA". It matches the Rfam family "Eukaryotic small subunit ribosomal RNA", at positions 569 to 1085 of the family's 1831-position model. The record is from RNAcentral. Lineage: Eukaryota; Fungi; Glomeromycota; Glomeromycetes; Entrophosporales; Entrophosporaceae.
AGCAGCCGCGGUAAUUCCAGCUCCAAUAGCGUAUAUUAAAGUUGUUGCAGUUAAAAGCUCGUAGUUGAAUUUCGGGAUUGGCGCAUCGGUCGUGCCUCACGGGGUAUGAGCUGGUGCAGUCAAUUUCUCACCUUCUGGAGAACCGCGAUGUCCUUAAUUGGAUGCCGUGGGGAACCAGGACCUUUACUUUGAAAAAAUUGAGUGUUUAAAGCAGGCAUUUUUGCUUGAAUACAUUAGCAUGGAAUAAUAAAAUAGGACGGCAUGGUUCUAUUUUGUUGGUUUCUAGGACCACCGUAAUGAUUAAUAGGGAUAGUUGGGGGCAUUAGUAUUCAAUUGUCAGAGGUGAAAUUCUUGGAUUUAUUGAAGACUAACUACUGCGAAAGCAUUUGCCAAGGAUGUUUUCAUUAAUCAAAAACGAAAGUUAGGGAUCGAAGACGAUCAGAUACCGUCGUAGUCUUAACCAUAAACUAUGCCGACUAGGAAUCAGACGAUGUUAAUUUUUUAAUGUACUCGUUUGGCA